ACGAACGCUGGCGGCGUGCUUCACCCAUGCCAGUCGCACGGAAAGGCCCUGCUUUUGUGGGGUGCUCGAGUGGCGAACGGGUGAGUAACACGUGAGUAACCUGCCCUUGACUUUGGGAUAACUUCAGGAAACUGGGGCUAAUACCGGAUAGGAGCUCCUGCUGCAUGGUGGGGGUUGGAAAGUUUCGGCGGUUGGGGAUGGACUCGCAGCUUAUCAGCUUGUUGGUGGGGUAGUGGCUUACCAAGGCUUUGACGGGUAGCCGGCCUGAGAGGGUGACCGGCCACAUUGGGACUGAGAUACGGCCCAGACUCCUACGGGAGGCAGCAGUGGGGAAUAUUGCACAAUGGGCGGAAGCCUGAUGCAGCAACGCCGCGUGCGGGAUGACGGCCUUCGGGUUGUAAACCGCUUUCGCCUGUGACGAAGCGUGAGUGACGGUAAUGGGUAAAGAAGCACCGGCUAACUACGUG
Molecule: ribosomal RNA, 467 nt
Filed under: uncultured bacterium
Lineage: Bacteria
Description: partial 16S ribosomal RNA
Rfam family: Bacterial small subunit ribosomal RNA
Source: RNAcentral